UAGCAGUUCUACAAGUGCAGCACCCUGAACACCUCAAAAACUUUGCAACACAAUCACUCAUAAAUACUUUUAUAUGAUGCAAUAUAGCACCACACUUGUUUUUGCACCUUAAAUGAGUUUCCUUAUUACCUGAACUUGAUAGAUAAUUUAGCCAUCUGAACAAAUUUCUUAAAUAUAAUGCUAAAGCUGCUUUAUUUCUUGGAAAAUUACACUGCUUGGUACAAUUCAACAUUUUACAUCCAAUUUCAUACUAAGCAUUGAUAUAUGACAACCGGUACUAUAAGAAUGAAAAGCCUUCGUUUUUAUACCAACAGGUCUCCUUGGGUUUUGGCAGCUAGCAUGUAAACAAAAGACUUUCGCACAUUUGGCACCUUUUCCAACCCCAAUUUUCUCUUACUGGAUAUCUUCUCCAUUUCAAAUGCUCAACAUGUGGAAAACACAACUCUUUACUCUGUCAAUCUCGUUAUCAAUCUCAAUGGCAUUAGAACACUCCCAGCUAACUUCCAGUAAAUUGCAGCGACUUAGCUAUAAUUAUUUUUCCUUUUAGAUGAAAUUUAUGGGAUACCCACAUAUUCUUAGAAACAUGAUAAAAAUUUCUACGAACAGGUUUUCUCACUCAAAAACAUUGACAAAAAUUUUCUUCGUUUUAAUUCUCCUCAAAAUAAAGAGGCUUUUUCAAAGCUUAAUUACUAAAAGCUCGAUCAAAGAAUAUUAUAUAUAGAUAAAAAAAAGAAACUCUCUUUUCUCCUCUCAAGGAAAGGACUUGGAGAGACUACAU
This 778-nucleotide long non-coding RNA is filed under the name Phoenix dactylifera (date palm). RNAcentral describes it as "long non-coding RNA (PDAC_LNC017940)". The record is from RNAcentral. Lineage: Eukaryota; Viridiplantae; Streptophyta; Magnoliopsida; Arecales; Arecaceae.